Frankliniella occidentalis (western flower thrips) is the source of this 783-nucleotide long non-coding RNA. RefSeq lists it as uncharacterized. The transcript is spliced from 2 exons. NCBI's taxonomy places the organism in Eukaryota, Metazoa, Arthropoda, Insecta, Thysanoptera, Thripidae. The record is from RefSeq and is a predicted model, not a curated record.
AUGUAUUGGGAAAGCUUUAGAACAAGUGCCGCACGCAACGUUCUUCAAAUCAAACAGUACCAUGACACUACACGGUAAAAACAAUGGCUAAUUUUUUGAGGGAAAAUAAGGGAAAACUUUGAAGAAGUCGCCUACUUUGACAAAAACUCCUCAGAUUUUGAGGAAGUCUCCUCAAAAAAUAUGGGAUUUUCCCUCAUUUUCUUAGAAUAUUCCUGAAAAUCUGGGACUAGAUUGGGCCUGGUUCACUUACACUACUAGCGCUUCACCGAAAUUAAUGUCUUGAAUUUCGGCGGCUGCCUGAUUUAGUUGAGUUAAGAGGCCUGCGUUAUUACAAGAAACAUUCAGUGGUAGUGACUCUUCCAAGUGUACAUACUCCAGUAAUCAUUUCCACCAGUUGGUUGUGCAUAGUUUAAGGUGUUUAACAUUUAUUCGCCAUCAAUUCGCACCCGCGCGAGUGUGUUGCGCGCGACACUGUACUCUCGGUACAUCACGCGAGUGCUCUCCCCCUUUGCCGUGCCGCGUCCCCUCCCCCUCUCCUCCUCCCCACCCCGCAUUUGCCGCGCCUUUAUGGAAACGUAAACAAACAAUAAAAAUCGGUGUCACUAUCGGCGUCUUCUGCUCAAUACCGAUAAUACCUACUCAUUUAAUUGGCCAUAGGAUUUUAAUUAGAAUUUUAGGGUGGACAUCGCCGCUUUUCAAUAUUAAUCGCAAGGAACUCGGCCCAGAAAUGUUCUUGACAUGAGCAAGAGAAGUCUAUGGAGUCAUUUUACCCAAAAGAAUAGG